GUCCCUAUCGUCUAGAGGCCUAGGACAUCGCCCUUUCACGGCGGUAACCGGGGUUCGAAUCCCCG
RNAcentral lists this transfer RNA (65 nucleotides) under Acinetobacter baumannii 1471012. Its description in RNAcentral is "partial tRNA-Glu". It matches the Rfam family "tRNA", at positions 1 to 63 of the family's 71-position model. Rfam says of the family: Transfer RNA (tRNA) molecules are approximately 80 nucleotides in length. Their secondary structure includes four short double-helical elements and three loops (D, anti-codon, and T loops). Lineage: Bacteria; Pseudomonadati; Pseudomonadota; Gammaproteobacteria; Moraxellales; Moraxellaceae. The record is from RNAcentral.